RNAcentral lists this transfer RNA (66 nucleotides) under Myiopsitta monachus (monk parakeet). Its description in RNAcentral is "tRNA-Ser". Lineage: Eukaryota; Metazoa; Chordata; Aves; Psittaciformes; Psittacidae. The record is from RNAcentral.
AGAAAGAAGCAUAAGUGGUUUGAUAUGCGGCUGGCUUGAAACCAGUGUAUGGGGGUUCGAUUCCUU